GAUGGUGGUUGGUCAAAGCAGGCAACAUGUAGGAAACGGGAGGUCAAGUAGGUGAUAGAGCUUGGCGGCAUGGCUGGAACGGACGGCGAGGCAGGUGACAGAGAAGGAGCACUGGAGACGGAGAAGAACACAAUGGGCCAGAUUUGGACCCACUACAUUUCGGUCUAAAUCUGCUUGAGCCUGCUGACGUCAGUGACAGAAAGUACUACAACCAGUUCAGGGUGUACCCCGCCUCCUGCCCGAUGACAGCUGGGAUAGGCUCCAGCACGCCCGCAACCCUAGUGAGGAGAAGCGGCUCAGAAAAUGGAUGGAUGGAUGGAUGUAAGUCACUGUACCUGGAGUCACUUUCUUUAAAAAACAAUGACCAAGUCCUUAACCUUGGUGAACUGAUAGAUUCCGACCUGACUUAUAACAGACAUAUCGAAUCAAUUACUAAAACUGCCUUCUACCAUCUCAAGAACAUAUCCAGAGUGAAGGCUUGCAUGUGUCAAGCAGACCAGGAGAAGCUCAUCCAUGCUUUUAUCUAAAGUAGACUUGACUAUUGUAAUGGUCUUCUGACUGGACUCCCCAAAAAGAGCAUUAAACAGCUGCAGCUCAUUCAGAAUGUUGCAGCUUGGGUUCUGACCAGAACAAAGAGGUCAAAGCAUAUUACUCCAAUUCUAAAGUCUUUACACUGGCACCCAGUCGGCUUCAGAAUAGGUUUUAUAGUUCUGCUACUGGUCUAUAAAUCACUAAAUGGUUAAGAUCCUGAAUACACGAGAGAAAUGCUAAUGAAUAUAAACCCAAUGGGGCUCUGAGAUUGACAGACUCAGGUCAAAUAGCGGAGCACAGAGUCCAAAGCAAACAUUGUGAGCCAGCAUUUAGCUAUUAUGCUGCACACAAAUUGUUGCCAAUAGAAGUGACGUCAGCCCCAAGUGUGAAUGUGUUAAAGUCCAGGUUAAAAACUCUUCUUUUUUCUCAUGCUUUUUAGAGCAUUUUCACUUUUAAAUAAUAUUUCUUGCACUCCACGCUGUUUUAAUUAUACUUUUAUUUUAUUUCCUCUUUGUUUUAAAUGAUUAUAAGCAUUUUUUUCCCUUUGUUUUUAAAUAUUUUCAAUCAUGUAAAACACAUUGAGUUACUUUGUGUAUGAAAUGCGCUACAUAAAUUUGCUUUGCUUUGUUUUGCUUUAUUGGA
Molecule: long non-coding RNA, 1173 nt
Organism: Phyllopteryx taeniolatus (common seadragon)
Lineage: Eukaryota; Metazoa; Chordata; Actinopteri; Syngnathiformes; Syngnathidae
Exons: 4
Source: RefSeq, a predicted model, not a curated record